This 746-nucleotide ribosomal RNA is filed under the name marine metagenome. RNAcentral describes it as "bacterial SSU rRNA". It matches the Rfam family "Bacterial small subunit ribosomal RNA", at positions 792 to 1520 of the family's 1533-position model. The record is from RNAcentral.
AGUCCUAGCCGUAAACGAUGGGCACUAAGUAGAGGGAAUUACCUAUAUUCUCUCUGCCGUAGCUAACGCAUUAAGUGCCCCGCCUGGGGAGUACGGCCGCAAGGCUAAAACUCAAAAGAAUUGACGGGGGCUCGCACAAGCGGUGGAGCAUGUGGCUUAAUUCGAUGCAACGCGAAAAACCUUACCGGGGCUUGACAUGAUAGAAGUAGGAACCUGAAAGGGGGACGAACGGUAUCCAGUCCGUAGCUAUUACAGGUGUUGCAUGGCUGUCGUCAGCUCGUGUCGUGAGACGUUGGGUUAAGUCCCCUAACGAGCGAAACCCUUGUUUUUAGUUACCAGCGGGUUAUGCCGGGUACUCUAGAAAGACUGCCGUCGUCAAGACGGAGGAAGGUGGGGAUGACGUCAAGUCAUCAUGGCCCUUAUGCCCCGGGCUGCACACGUGCUACAAUGGUCGGUACAGACGGAAGCGAAGCCGAGAGGUGAAGCGAAUCCUAAAAAGCCGAUCUCAGUUCGGAUUGGAGGCUGAAAUUCGCCUCCAUGAAGUUGGAAUCGCUAGUAAUCGCGGAUCAGCAAUGUCGCGGUGAAUAUGUUCCCGAGCCUUGUACACACCGCCCGUCAAGCCACCCAAGCAGGAUGCACCCGAAAACAUUAUAUCUAACCAGGGCAACUUGGAGGAAAAUGUUGAAGGAGUGUUUUGUGAGGAGGACUAAGUCGUAACAAGGUAGUCGUAGGAGAACCUGCGGCUG